CUUCUCUCUCUCUUUCUCUAUAUCUCUCUGUCUCUCUCUACCCCUCCCUCUGUCUCUUUCUACCUCUCUCUCUCUCUACCUCUCUCUCUCUCCUCUCUCUCUUUCUCUCUAUCGCUCUGUCUCUCUCUACCCCUCUCUGUUUUUUUUUCUCUCUCUCCUCUCUCCUCACUCUCCUUUCUCUCCUCUCCGCUCUCUCACUUUUUCUCGUUCUUUGGGUGCCAGAGAAGCAUUGUUAUUCAUCUGCCUUCCGCAUUUACUUUCAAAAUGGUCCUUAAAAAACAUCCCAGAAAGAGCGAGAGAGAGGGGGAGAGAGAGACAGAGACAGGGGGAGAGAGAGAGAAAGAGAGAGAGAGCGAGAGAGAGAGAGAGAAAGAUACCAGACCCCAAAUCAGAGAAAAUCAAAGCAGCAGUCCAUCAAUACCGAC
This 425-nucleotide long non-coding RNA is filed under the name Salmo salar (Atlantic salmon). Its description in RNAcentral is "lncRNA (ENSSSAG00000099785.1)". Lineage: Eukaryota; Metazoa; Chordata; Actinopteri; Salmoniformes; Salmonidae. The record is from RNAcentral.